CUUUGAACGCUUUAUGUCAUAAACAUCACUCAAACGCCAAGAUCCCGGGCGCAAGCGGGCUAAUGUAAACCCUUCUUGUAAGCGUGAAGGUUACUUUAACAGCGUCCGCCAAAACACCUAUAGUGGUCCUUGGCGCGGUGCGCACGACUAGUAACGACACCUUUAGUUGUUCUUGGCGUUCAAAAGCUUAACAGCAUCGUUCGUAGACGUUUCUGGUUAUUAAAAAUUAAAACAUUGGUGUCAUCCGGCGGAGCGGAAACGAGAACCAAGGCUAUUGGUGGCUUUCCGCACGUCUCGUCCUCGCAUCAGUGGAUAGGCAACCUUAGGAUUUAUCAGCCAGAAAACACCCAAUAAACGGAUACACGAAGUAAGAUUAAUUGCUGCAACAGCUUGUGAUCUUAUAUCCCUCCUACUCUUCUUCUUCUUUUUUAUUCUUAUACCUUUUAACAUGAAGAGUUGUAGACAUCUAAUAAAUGAAAUAGGUGGUAAGAUGUCAUUAACAAGUAAUAAAUAUUUCACUCCAUAAGUAAAACAUCAAUAUUUUGUUUAGGAGUCGAGUUCGCUACUCCCUAAUAAGUAGUGUCAUUGCCACUUUAACAUGACCUCCGCAUAGAUACCGCACAGCGGAGUUGCUUUUAUAACUACCAUUGAAAUACACUUUACGUACACCACAUAGAGUAGAUUCAUAUGGAGUAUGGAAUAUAUUUCUAGAUAAAUAACAACAAUAUUCAAACACAUUGUAAAAAUAGUCUAUAUGUCGGCGGCCGAUCGUAAGAUCAGGCAGAUCGUAAUGUUCCUGUGUAAUGUUUUGACGAUAGUCACAUUAAACCAAUAUAUAGGUAGGACAGGUUCGUUAGGUUGCUUCAGAUGCCCGAAGGGCAAACUGCCCAGAAAUAGGAGCCCCGCCUAGCGGGGCUCCGUCGACUCAGGGAACGAGUCAAAGAUUUUCACGUUUCACGAUAUGCCUAGGAAUUUCACGAUAUGCCUGAUCUUACGAUCGGCCGCCGACGUAUAUACCUACAU
Molecule: long non-coding RNA, 1023 nt
Organism: Cydia fagiglandana
Lineage: Eukaryota; Metazoa; Arthropoda; Insecta; Lepidoptera; Tortricidae
Exons: 3
Source: RefSeq, a predicted model, not a curated record